AACUGCCAUAGCAGCCAUAGCAGAAGCACUCACGUUGCAGCCCUGUCAGAUUUUAAUGACUCUGUAAAUUAUGCU
This 75-nucleotide ribozyme is filed under the name Crocodylus porosus (Australian saltwater crocodile). Its description in RNAcentral is "Mammalian CPEB3 ribozyme (ENSCPRG00005005981.1)". It matches the Rfam family "Mammalian CPEB3 ribozyme". Rfam says of the family: The mammalian CPEB3 ribozyme is a self cleaving RNA located in the second intron of the CPEB3 gene which belongs to a family of genes regulating messenger RNA polyadenylation. This ribozyme is highly conserved and found only in mammals. The record is from RNAcentral. Lineage: Eukaryota; Metazoa; Chordata; Crocodylia; Crocodylidae.